GGACCAUUAGCUUCAAUUGGAUAGAGCGCUCGUCUUCGGAACGAGAGGUUGCAAGUUCGAGUCUUGCAUGGUCUGCCA
Molecule: transfer RNA, 78 nt
Filed under: SAR202 cluster bacterium
Lineage: Bacteria; Bacillati; Chloroflexota; Dehalococcoidia
Description: tRNA-Arg
Rfam family: tRNA
About the family: Transfer RNA (tRNA) molecules are approximately 80 nucleotides in length.
Source: RNAcentral